Molecule: unclassified non-coding RNA, 379 nt
Filed under: uncultured bacterium
Lineage: Bacteria
Description: contains 16S-23S intergenic spacer region
Source: RNAcentral
UCCGGUUUUUCACCGGCAGUCCCUCUAGAGUGCCCAACUGAAUGUAGCAACUAAUGGCAAGGGUUGCGCUCGUUGCGGGACUUAACCCAACAUCUCACGGCACGAGCUGACGACAGCCAUGCAGCACCUGAGCAGGAUGGUAUUGCUACCUCGUUGGGCUUUCACCCUUCUACUACCUGCAUGUCCAGCCUGGGUAAGGUUCUUCGCGUUGCGUCGAAUUAAACCACAUGCUCCACUGCUUGUGCGGGCCCCCGUCAAUUCCUUUGAGUUUCAGCCUUGCGGCCGUACUCCCCAGGCGGAGUGCUUAACGCGUUGGCUGCGGCACCGCGGGGGUCAAUACCCACAGCACCUAGCACUCAUCGUUUACAGCGUGGACUAC